Molecule: small RNA, 1828 nt
Filed under: Rattus norvegicus (Norway rat)
Lineage: Eukaryota; Metazoa; Chordata; Mammalia; Rodentia; Muridae
Description: uncharacterized LOC103691818
Source: RNAcentral
AAAAAGAAGCAAGAUGGUUAAUAAAGUUAUAUGCAGAAGAAAACAAUUAGCAAGCAUUCCAAAUGCCGUAGUUAAAAAUACAUUAAACAAAGCAGGUCGUUGCUGUCCUCACCAUAACUUUCGCAUGGAACUUACCAGAAUAGCAAAGCUAUCUCCUGCUGCUCGCUAACUUGCUCCAGUUGUGUUGAGAAUAGCAAUUAUACUUUUUUGUUUACACAUUUUGUUUGGAAAUGUUUACAUCCGUGCAGUGAAACUAACUUUUAGAGAAAAGGAGUGUCAUUUGGUUUCGAUGACACCAUAAAGGGGAAGCAUAGAAAUCUGUUGAUGAAAUCUUCAGAAUGUUAGCAGAAUGGGCAGCUUCCAGUGAUACCAUCCCAACAGUGACUCCAGGCUAUGUACUGUAUAGAAAUGCCACCUUCUCUGAUUAGAAAUGGCCCUUGUCCUAGACCCGUGUGUAGAGCCACUUCUUGUCUAGAGCUACAUAGACGCCUCCGUGUGUGACAGAGGGCUUCUGUCUCUAUCUUUUCCCUCACAGCAGAUCCCACAGCUCCUCUUUGUUGAUCACAAUUCUCAUCCUGCAGGCCCUCUCUGGGGUCCUGUUAGAAGUGAGGCUGGGAUCCCAAAAAGGACCCCAGAAUCCGGUGUCUUGGGCAAGAAAGUUUUAUUUAAUUCUGCAGAAGUUUUCAAAGCCCUAACAAGUUCUGGGAAGCAAGCACACCAGCGGGGAGUCCCUCAGAGGGUUACUCCCAACAUGAGGGUUCUGGGCUUACUCUACUGGUCAAAAUUUGGUCUCAGAUUCUCAUACAGUUGGCGAAUUCACAUGGAGAAAUGUGGUCUGGUAAUAAUGUACUUACUGAGGUUUGGAGACGUUUGGUGUUUUGGAAGGACGUCAAAACUCGGGAGAAUCAGAUUUCAUGUGACGGGAACUAGAAACUUAUGUGGGGCAGUCACCAAACGGCAUUUCCUCAAAGCAGAGUCAUCCGGGCUCUGCUAAUCUUUGUGUUUCUCCCAGGUCUUAGGCUCGUUAAUAAAAGGAUUUAGAAAUGGAUUCAGCAGAAAGCGCAAGAACAACUUUGUUAGAGUUUGCAAAACAACAGGGCACAGAAGCUGCCAGGAGUCGGGGCAGGAAGCUGGAGAGAGGAAGACGUGGAGCUGGAAGGGACAGGGGGCAACGGAGAUCGGAGAUCAGCGAAGCAGCCACAUGACAGACAAACAGCAGCUGGGUGGGAAUAUGACUGGGGAAUUUUCGAGUAUCAGGGAAGGCCUACCCAGACUUUGGUCAGAGAUAAGAGAAGAAAAAGUUAUGUGUUACUGACUGAGAAGAGCAGACCAGCUCUGCGGUGUUACAUUAUGGAAGAUCUGCCAGCAAUUGCGUGGAUUUGGGGAGCCCCGGACUACAAACCCAGAGGUGGCACCACCUACAAUGGGCUGGGCCCUCCCCCAUCAGUCACUAAUGAAGAAACUGCUCUACAAGGCUGGGCCACAGCUUGACCUUCAGAAGCAUUUUCUCAGUUGAAGGUCCCUCCUUUCAGAUAACUAUAGUUUGUGUCAAGCCAAUGUAAAUCUAGCCUGCACACCUCCUUUGGUUACAGGUUUGGGGACACCAUUCCUUUGAGCCAAUAUGCUGUCAAACAGCAGAAGAAAUAUUUCACAUGGUUGUCCUGGCACGGCUCUCCCCCACAGUUUAGACUCACUGUCACCGUGCAGAAAAUGAAAAUGUCAACUAAAUUGGAACCAGACAUCCCAUGGCUAGAUUUAUAAGUCAAUAGAUACUUGUGAGCAUAUUAAACAAAAAAUAAUACAUUUAUCAGCCUAUUAAACAAAAACA